AGAGAAGUAAUUAAGGGCGUACGGCGGAUGCCUAGGCUCACAGAGGCGAUGAAGGACGCGAUAAGCUGCGAUAAGCUACGGGGAGCUGCACAUAGCAUUGAUCCGUGGAUUUCCGAAUGGGGCAACCCACUAUGUUGAAGACAUAGUACCAUUUAUGGGGCGAACCCGGAGAACUGAAACAUCUAAGUACCCGGAGGAGAAGAAAACAAUAGUGAUUUCCUGAGUAGCGGCGAGCGAAACGGAAUUAGCCCAAACCAAAUUUGUUACGGCAAAUUUGGGGUUGUAGGACUAUGACAUGGAUUGUACAAAAAACUGGAACGUUUUGGAAAGAACGAUCAUAGAGGGUGAUAAUCCCGUACAGGUAAGUCUGUAUAAAUCCUAAUAGUAUCCUGAGUAGCGCGGGGCACGUGAAACCUUGCGUGAAACAGCCGGGACCAUCCGGUAAGGCUAAAUACU
This 456-nucleotide ribosomal RNA is filed under the name uncultured Cryomorphaceae bacterium. RNAcentral's name for it is "bacterial LSU rRNA". It matches the Rfam family "Bacterial large subunit ribosomal RNA", at positions 1 to 474 of the family's 2925-position model. The record is from RNAcentral. Lineage: Bacteria; Pseudomonadati; Bacteroidota; Flavobacteriia; Flavobacteriales; Cryomorphaceae.